This 2047-nucleotide long non-coding RNA is filed under the name Homo sapiens (human). RNAcentral's name for it is "HSALNT0117837". Lineage: Eukaryota; Metazoa; Chordata; Mammalia; Primates; Hominidae. The record is from RNAcentral.
GCCUCCUUCACUGCUGGGUGGAACUCGGGGCGCCCAGGAGCCGCCUCCUCAGGGCUGGCUCAUUUGAUGUCCCAGGCUGAGCUGCACACUAGGGGGAUGAGGUGACCGGUGGGCACCCAUCUCAGACACCCGGCUUCCCAGGUCCCGCGGCCCUCCCCUGGGGGCCCUGGCCAGCAGUUCACCAAGGCAGCAGCCCCGGGUGUGAGCAGGGGGUGACAGGGAUGGGGCUCCACAUCCUCCCGGCUCUGCUUCUGGGAUUCCCCCGGCUCCUGUCCACGGGCACGGCCUCCUGAGAGCCGCGUGGGGCGGGCAGGCAGCAUGGCCUCCUGGUGACCCACAUGCCCCCUCCUCACUGGGGCCGGGGAGCAGCCCCCACAGCCAGGAGGAGCAGGCCCUGGACCACAUGCCACAAGCUGGGGCCUGGCUCUGGCUGUGUGAGGUGUCUGUGACCUCAGGCAGAGCCUAUGCCAGCCUGGGCCUGUCUCCACCGGCAAGAGCUAUGCGGCAGGUCAGGGAGGCCGGGCCAGGGCCUCAGGUUGGCCUCCCUGUCAUCUGCCCUUCUAGGGACGUAGGCUGCUGCAUGGGAGAGCCAGCCUGGCCAGGCCCUGGGACUCAGCUCCACUGUCUCAGCUGACCUGGCGACCUGGCAGGUCAUAGGGGGGCGCUUGCCUCAGCUUCUGACUCUCGAGCAAUUCUGUUCUGCCUGAGCCCAUCAGCCCCAGAUCCCAGGGUGGGGCCGUCCCAAGGAUCUGCUCUCUUCCUCCCAUAGGUCUCCCGUCCUGUCCUCCGGGGCCAAGCCCCCACCUCCCUGCUCCUGUCCCUGGUCCCUCUGUUGCCCCCAUCCCCAGAAAGUCACCCAGGGCCUGCCUAUACUUGCCUUCACCUGAGGGAGCUGCCAGCCCUGGGCGUGUACGGGUCGGGGGCACCCUUUCAUCUGGAGCCAGGAUGGGGGGUGCUCGUCUGGCCUGGACUUGCCAGGCUGGCUGGAGACCCUGUUUGGUGUCCAGGUGCCGUCCUGGGGCCCAGCCUCUGAGGUGGCGGUGAGGCUUAGGGGUUGGCGGACUGUGAUUCUCCGAAUUUCAAGGUCAUUUGUCAUCAUCCGUCCACGUGGGCCCAGGGCUCUGUCAACCCCCUGGAGAAGCCGCUUGAAAUGACAGCCAAGAACAGGGCCCCCACUGGCUCUUCUUGACCUCCAAGGCCCCCAGGUACCUAAGGCAGUAAACCCCCAACUCCCUGGAAGGGCCCACUGGGCGCUCACUUCGCUCCAGAGCCUCGCCUGGUUUCCGCUUCGGGAUCCGGUCACCCAACCCAGCUCUCCAGUUGCUGCUGUUUCUCGUGAGACUGUCAGAGUGAAGGGGUCCAAAGCUCCGACUUCCAGCCUCAGAAAUCCCAACUCAGGCAGGAUCAGCGAAGCGUCCCUCGCAGUGGCUGGAGGGAGAGCCAGGCGGGGCCCAGGCUGCCACUUAUCAGGGCUGUAAAUGCCACCCUGAGGCCCACGCCUGCCAACACUGCUCCCCACAAGACUAAGUCCUGCAGCCUCAGCCCAGAAGGACCCGCGCCUACCCCCACACGGAGGUCAUGUUCAGCCACACCCCAGUGAACCCUGGCGACCCACCCCACAGUGCCCUGCCCUCCCGUGCUCCUCUCUCCUGACCUCUGUGCACGCUGCUCCCUUGACAGAAGCGUCCCCCCUCCCUUGCUAUGCAGGAUUCAGAGGACAGCGUCUGUCCCCAGCUGCAGCACGGUAACGGGCACACACAUUAAGAUAGUAAGAGAUGUCCGCUGACGGCCACCAGCUUCCCAGCAGGCUCAGAGAAGUUACUGGAGUUGGAGCUGGGUGACAGCGUGCACAGGCCCAAGCAUGGGAUCCACCCAGUUCCUGGGAACUACGUCCCUCUGCGUUUCUGCCCAACAAGCUUCCCUUCAUGAAGCCCAUGAAACUGAACUCAUGCUGUGCGGCUGCAAUGUCUCGCUACUGUUAAGGAGGACAGUGAAGUAUUUUGGGAUACACAUUCGCUUUUAAUAAAAAAGAAAUUUCCUCCUACAA